UUUACACAUGCGCAGUCUGGAGAAUUAUUUUCCCCGCCUUUUUUCAAUCACUGGAUGAACGACGACGGUUGGUUUUCUGCUGAAGUAAAUAUCAACUAUUUCUUCACCCACGGACAAUUCGAAUUCCAGCAUUGAUGUGAAGAGGGAAUGCAUCUUAAAAGCACUUUGUGUCUACUUUAAUGAAAACCCAAACGACAUGAUCAGAGAAUAUGUGGACGUUGAUCUUGCAGCUGGACAAACCAUCGAGCAGAUGACCAUGGGAGUUUAUGCUGUCAGGCACGAAGGAGCAGACUCUACAGAGGCACCGGAAGAUGUGGGAAGGAUGCACUGUGCUGGAGGCUCUGGGUGAUGUGGCCAAAGGAUGUGCCCUCCUUCUAGGCUUAAUCUACAGUCUAAACCUGCAAUACCCAAAGGACCUAAAACACACCUUUGAAUUUUUUCAAAAAAUGUUGAUGGAGUUGGAUGGAAACAAGCUAUCA
Oryzias melastigma (Indian medaka) is the source of this 479-nucleotide long non-coding RNA. RefSeq lists it as uncharacterized. The transcript has 4 exons. The record is from RefSeq and is a predicted model, not a curated record. NCBI's taxonomy places the organism in Eukaryota, Metazoa, Chordata, Actinopteri, Beloniformes, Adrianichthyidae.